GACGAACGCUGGCGGCGUGCUUAACACAUGCAAGUCGAACGGUAAGGCCCUUCGGGGUACACGAGUGGCGAACGGGUGAGUAACACGUGGGUGAUCUGCCCUGCACUUCGGGAUAAGCCUGGGAAACUGGGUCUAAUACCGGAUAGGACCACUGCCUGCAUGGGUGGUGGGGGAAAGCUUUUGCGGUGUGGGAGGGGCCCGCGGCCUAUCAGCUUGCUGGUGGGGUGAUGGCCUACCAAGGCGACGACGGGUAGCCGGCCUGAGAGGGUGACUGGCCACACUGGGACUGAGAUACGGCCCAGACUCCUACGGGAGGCAGCAGUGGGGAAUAUUGCACAAUGGGCGCAAGCCUGAUGCAGCGACGCCGCGUGAGGGAUGACGGCCUUCGGGUUGUAAACCUCUUUCAGCACCGACGAAGCGCAAGUGACGGUAGGCGCAGAAGAAGGACCGGCCAACUACGUGCCAGCCGCCGCGGUAA
This 478-nucleotide ribosomal RNA is filed under the name uncultured bacterium. RNAcentral describes it as "partial 16S ribosomal RNA". It matches the Rfam family "Bacterial small subunit ribosomal RNA", at positions 28 to 523 of the family's 1533-position model. The record is from RNAcentral.